UACCAUCUUCAUCUUCUUCCUCAAGUGCUUCAAACCUCCAUAGCUACCAAGCUCUCUAAAAUCUUUGUUCCUUAGCCAAAUCAAGCGAUUCAAGAGCCUAACUUGGCUAUUUUUUCGAGAGUAACAAAACCCUACCCUCGGUUUUCAUUGAAAACGCCCAGAUUCAUACAAAUCAGAUCGAGUUCGAAGAACCCUAAAAUUCAAAUUUGGGGCGUUUUGCUCAAACUUCAUAAGCAAUCUAUUUAAGUGUUCUCUAGCCCUUCUAAACUAAAAAGGUAUGAUUUUUUUCCUACAAUUUUCCUCUGAUUUGAUGAAGUCAAGAUGGUUAAAUCACGCAGGGGUAAAGAAAAAGAAACUGCACCAUAGGAGGAUGUAG
Molecule: long non-coding RNA, 376 nt
Filed under: Helianthus annuus (common sunflower)
Lineage: Eukaryota; Viridiplantae; Streptophyta; Magnoliopsida; Asterales; Asteraceae
Description: sRNA HanXRQr2_Chr11g0495631
Source: RNAcentral